AUUGAACGCUGGCGGCAGGCCUAACACAUGCAAGUCGAGCGGAUGAAGGGAGCUUGCUCCUGGAUUCAGCGGCGGACGGGUGAGUAAUGCCUAGGAAUCUGCCUGGUAGUGGGGGAUAACGUCCGGAAACGGGCGCUAAUACCGCAUACGUCCUGAGGGAGAAAGUGGGGGAUCUUCGGACCUCACGCUAUCAGAUGAGCCUAGGUCGGAUUAGCUAGUUGGUGGGGUAAAGGCCUACCAAGGCGACGAUCCGUAACUGGUCUGAGAGGAUGAUCGGUCACACUGGAUCUGAGACACGGUCCAGACUCCUACGGGAGGCAGCAGUGGGGAAUAUUGGACAAUGGGCGAAAGCCUGAUCCAGCCAUGCCGCGUGUGUGAAGAAGGUCUUCGGAUUGUAAAGCACUUUAAGUUGGGAGGAAGGGCAGUAAGUUAAUACCUUGCUGUUUUGACGUUACCAACAGAAUAAGCACCGGCUAACUUCGUG
This 484-nucleotide ribosomal RNA is filed under the name uncultured bacterium. Its description in RNAcentral is "partial 16S ribosomal RNA". It matches the Rfam family "Bacterial small subunit ribosomal RNA", at positions 30 to 507 of the family's 1533-position model. The record is from RNAcentral.